UGCCCCGUCGUCUAGUGGUAGGACAGCGGACUUUGGAUCCGUUAACCGAGGUUCGAAUCCUCGCGGGGCAGCCA
This 74-nucleotide transfer RNA is filed under the name Chloroflexota bacterium. RNAcentral's name for it is "Chloroflexi bacterium (soil metagenome) tRNA-Gln". It matches the Rfam family "tRNA". From Rfam's summary of the family: Transfer RNA (tRNA) molecules are approximately 80 nucleotides in length. Their secondary structure includes four short double-helical elements and three loops (D, anti-codon, and T loops). Further hydrogen bonds mediate the characteristic L-shaped molecular structure. tRNAs have two regions of fundamental functional importance: the anti-codon, which is responsible for specific mRNA codon recognition, and the 3' end, to which the tRNAs corresponding amino acid is attached (by aminoacyl-tRNA synthetases). tRNAs cope with the degeneracy of the genetic code in two manners: having more than one tRNA (with a specific anti-codon) for a particular amino acid; and 'wobble' base-pairing, i.e. permitting non-standard base-pairing at the 3rd anti-codon position. Lineage: Bacteria; Bacillati; Chloroflexota. The record is from RNAcentral. RNAcentral also lists the same sequence under 4 other names.